UGUCAUGCCAACCCUUUGUUGCCGUCACGCCACGAUAAGUCCGACGCCCCUAUCCACGCUGUCAACCUUGACCUCACCGACCGCGCCACUGUGACCAAUUGAAAAGGAAAUUUCACGUUGUCAAGCCAAUUGCAUGCUACACUCCCCUUGCCCUCAAACUUGAGAUUUGUCACCAUGGACAAUAGGUCCAUAGAGGAUGCAAAUGUAUUUCUAGAGAAUGAUUUUCAAAAUCCUCUCCAGAUGCGCAUUUUACUGAUUUACUUUAAUUUUUUGGUUGGUUGAUUAAUAAAUUCAUAAUAUUUUUCUCUGCCAAUGAUGAUGCGGCACAUGAAGAUAAUAGAUUUUGUCUUAGUUUUACCAUAAGAAAAUAAGUCUUUUUGUUUCUUGCUAUAUGUAUCUUGCUUUAGAUCAAGUGGAGGAUUAGUAAACAUGCAUUAUUGAACUCUGUAAUUAAAUUUUAAAUGUUUGAGAAGAAUUACUGAACUGCUGUUAUUUUUUUCCUGAUAAAUAUGUUCUCUCUUUUCAGGUUACCAGAUAACUUGUAUGCACUUUUUAAUGAGAUUACAUAACUUACCAAAAAAACAAAUCUUUCCUGAAUCUCCCAAGCUUUGCAAAUUUUUCUUGUGAAUGA
This is a long non-coding RNA of Juglans microcarpa x Juglans regia, 631 nucleotides long. RefSeq lists it as uncharacterized. The transcript is spliced from 3 exons. The record is from RefSeq and is a predicted model, not a curated record. NCBI's taxonomy places the organism in Eukaryota, Viridiplantae, Streptophyta, Magnoliopsida, Fagales, Juglandaceae.